RNAcentral lists this transfer RNA (85 nucleotides) under Felis catus (domestic cat). It matches the Rfam family "tRNA". From Rfam's summary of the family: Transfer RNA (tRNA) molecules are approximately 80 nucleotides in length. Their secondary structure includes four short double-helical elements and three loops (D, anti-codon, and T loops). RNAcentral also lists the same sequence under 1 other name. Lineage: Eukaryota; Metazoa; Chordata; Mammalia; Carnivora; Felidae. The record is from Rfam by way of RNAcentral.
GCCUGGGUGGCUCAGUCGGUUGAGCAUCCGGCUUCGGCUCAGGUCAUGACCUCACGGCUCAUGGGUUCAAACCCCAUGUUGGGCU